CAAGUGCUCAGAUCUCCUUCAGCAGUCCAUCUUGGGUGAAAAUGUUUGCUCCCAUCAGCAAGAUUUAGCAUGGUUUCAAUUCCAUGUUUGAAAAUCAUCUUUACAACUCGCCUGCAACAUGCAAUCAGCUCCUCCUUUCUAGUCACGUUUGCUCAUGAAUAUUUUCUGUGGUCAUCUAUCCAUACUGAAGGGCUAUGCACUUACCUGCCACGAUACUUCAGUGUUUGUUGGGAAUCGAAGCCAAGUCUUGGAGAUGGUGCUGCCAGAUUCUCUGAGGAGACUGAGAAUAUGUGGUCCC
RNAcentral lists this long non-coding RNA (298 nucleotides) under Heterocephalus glaber (naked mole-rat). RNAcentral's name for it is "lncRNA (ENSHGLG00000035582.1)". The record is from RNAcentral. Lineage: Eukaryota; Metazoa; Chordata; Mammalia; Rodentia; Bathyergidae.